GCCCUCUGCACAUGGAGCGUAUCGUCAUAGAUGUGUACAAGAUUUGACUCGCAGUUGACGAUACGCGUAUGGCUGCACUUCCACACAUGCUGCAUACUAAAAGCGUACAGAUUUUGUUCAUUCAAGUUGGCAUCCAGCAGUGAUGAUGAUGAUGAUAUAUUUUAUUAUUUUUGUCGUAGCCGAAAAAGGAGGAAAAUAACACGAUUUUGGGUUCAGCCUUACAUUGAAAGAAGUGUAAAUAAUAGAUUGUUUAUUUCUGCUAGGAUAUUAUCAGAAAAUGCAAAAUUUCAAACAUUUUAUAGAAUGACG
This 309-nucleotide long non-coding RNA is filed under the name Androctonus crassicauda. Lineage: Eukaryota; Metazoa; Arthropoda; Arachnida; Scorpiones; Buthidae. The record is from RNAcentral.